GAUGAACGCUAGCGGCAGGCUUAACACAUGCAAGUCGAGGGGUAGAAGGAGCUUGCUCCUUUGAGACCGGCGCACGGGUGCGUAACGCGUAUGCAAUCUACCUUUUGCAGAGGGAUAGCCCAGAGAAAUUUGGAUUAAUACCUCAUAGUAUGUGAGGAUGGCAUCAUUUUCACAUUAAAGUCACAACGGCAAAAGAUGAGCAUGCGUCCCAUUAGCUAGUUGGUAAGGUAACGGCUUACCAAGGCUACGAUGGGUAGGGGUCCUGAGAGGGAGAUCCCCCACACUGGUACUGAGACACGGACCAGACUCCUACGGGAGGCAGCAGUGAGGAAUAUUGGACAAUGGGCGCAAGCCUGAUCCAGCCAUGCCGCGUGCAGGAUGACGGUCCUAUGGAUGUAAACUGCUUUGUACAGGAAGAAACACUACUUCGUGAAGUAGCUUGACGGUACUGUAAGAAUAAGGAUCGGCU
Molecule: ribosomal RNA, 469 nt
Filed under: uncultured bacterium
Lineage: Bacteria
Description: bacterial SSU rRNA
Rfam family: Bacterial small subunit ribosomal RNA
Source: RNAcentral